CACAUGCAAGUCGAACGGUAGCAGGAAGAAGCUUGCUUCUUUGCUGACGAGUGGCGGACGGGUGAGUAAUGCUUGGGGAUCUGGCUUAUGGAGGGGGAUAACUACGGGAAACUGUAGCUAAUACCGCGUAGUAUCGAGAGAUGAAAGACUGGGACCGCAAGGCCAGUUGCCAUAAGAUGAGCCCAAGUGGGAUUAGGUAGUUGGUGGGGUAAAG
This 214-nucleotide ribosomal RNA is filed under the name Glaesserella parasuis. RNAcentral's name for it is "partial 16S ribosomal RNA". It matches the Rfam family "Bacterial small subunit ribosomal RNA", at positions 52 to 262 of the family's 1533-position model. Lineage: Bacteria; Pseudomonadati; Pseudomonadota; Gammaproteobacteria; Pasteurellales; Pasteurellaceae. The record is from RNAcentral.